GACAGAGGGUGCAAACGUUGUUCGGAAUUACUGGGCGUAAAGCGUGUGUAGGCGGUCCGCUAAGUCGGGUGUGAAAUCCCUGGGCUCAACCCAGGAAGUGCACCCGAAACUGGCGGGCUAGAGUAUCGGAGAGGUUGGUGGAAUUCUCGGUGUAGAGGUGAAAUUCGUAGAUAUCGAGAGGAACACCUGCGGCGAAGGCGGGUUGCUGGGCCGACACUGACGCUGAGGCGCGAAAGCUAGGGGAGCGAACGGG
RNAcentral lists this ribosomal RNA (253 nucleotides) under uncultured bacterium. RNAcentral's name for it is "partial 16S ribosomal RNA". It matches the Rfam family "Bacterial small subunit ribosomal RNA", at positions 524 to 776 of the family's 1533-position model. The record is from RNAcentral.